This 407-nucleotide ribosomal RNA is filed under the name Chiasmocleis shudikarensis group sp. ABGD cluster 25. RNAcentral describes it as "partial large subunit ribosomal RNA". It matches the Rfam family "Bacterial large subunit ribosomal RNA", at positions 1834 to 2457 of the family's 2925-position model. Lineage: Eukaryota; Metazoa; Chordata; Amphibia; Anura; Microhylidae. The record is from RNAcentral.
CCUGAAAGAUUAUAGGAGGUCCAGCCUGCCCAGUGAUAAAAUUAAACGGCCGCGGUACCCUAACCGUGCGAAGGUAGCGCAAUCACUUGUUCUUUAAAUGAGGACUAGUAUGAACGGCAUCACGAGGAUUAUACUGUCUCCCUUCUUUAAUCAGUGAAACUGAUCCCCCCGUGAAGAAGCGGGGAUAUACAUAUAAGACGAGAAGACCCUAUGGAGCUUUAAACUUAACACCACUUAUCUAAGACACUUCAUAAUAAACAGAUAAGCUUGUGCGCGUUUUAGGUUGGGGUGACCGCGGAGUAAAAUUUAACCUCCACGUUGAAAGGCCUUUAUCCUUAUCCAAGAGCCACAUCUCCAAGAAUCAACAAAUUGACACUUAUUGACCCAAAUUUUUUUGAUCAACGAAC